GCGGGUGUAGCUCAGUUGGUUAGCGCGCCGGCCUGUCACGCCGGAGGUCGCGGGUUCGAGCCCCGUCACUCGCGCCA
This 77-nucleotide transfer RNA is filed under the name Nitratireductor sp. RNAcentral describes it as "tRNA-Asp". It matches the Rfam family "tRNA". From Rfam's summary of the family: Transfer RNA (tRNA) molecules are approximately 80 nucleotides in length. Lineage: Bacteria; Pseudomonadati; Pseudomonadota; Alphaproteobacteria; Hyphomicrobiales; Phyllobacteriaceae. The record is from RNAcentral.